AUCCAGCUGAAGAGUCCCGAAUAGGACGAAACGCGCGUCCCAGAU
This 45-nucleotide non-coding RNA is filed under the name Schistosoma mansoni. Lineage: Eukaryota; Metazoa; Platyhelminthes; Trematoda; Strigeidida; Schistosomatidae. The record is from RNAcentral.